GACGAACGCUGGCGGCGUGCUUAACACAUGCAAGUCGAACGGAAAGGCCCUGCUUUUGUGGGGUGCUCGAGUGGCGAACGGGUGAGUAACACGUGAGUAACCUGCCCUUGACUUUGGGAUAACUCAGGAAACUGGGGCUAAUACCGGAUAGGAGCUCCUGCUGCAUGGUGGGGGUUGGAAAGUUUCGGCGGUUGGGGAUGGACUCGCGGCUUAUCAGCUUGUUGGUGGGGUAGUGGCUUACCAAGGCUUUGACGGGUAGCCGGCCUGAGAGGGUGACCGGCCACAUUGGGACUGAGAUACGGCCCAGACUCCUACGGGAGGCAGCAGUGGGGUAUAUUGCACAAUGGGCGGAAGCCUGAUGCAGCAACGCCGCGUGCGGGAUGACGGCCUUCGGGUUGUAAACCGCUUUCGCCUGUGACGAAGCGUGAGUGACGGUAAUGGGUAAAGAAGCACCGGCUAACUACGUG
RNAcentral lists this ribosomal RNA (467 nucleotides) under uncultured bacterium. Its description in RNAcentral is "partial 16S ribosomal RNA". It matches the Rfam family "Bacterial small subunit ribosomal RNA", at positions 28 to 507 of the family's 1533-position model. The record is from RNAcentral.